AAGUCGUAACAAGGUUUUCGUAGGUGAACCUGCGAAAGGAUCAUUAGUGAAUAUAGGGUGACUCUGUAAAGAGAACCCCGGUUUCCACUUAUUAUCAUACACUGUGCACUAAACCUUUUUUAACUUACGUUGAAAAACACUUGUGUCAAAUUAUGUUUGUGAAUGUACAAUCAUGUUAAAAUGAAAGUAAAA
This 192-nucleotide unclassified non-coding RNA is filed under the name plant metagenome. Its description in RNAcentral is "partial contains small subunit ribosomal RNA and internal transcribed spacer 1". The stretch from base 1 to 46 matches the Rfam family "Eukaryotic small subunit ribosomal RNA", at positions 1786 to 1831 of the family's 1831-position model. The record is from RNAcentral.